GGACACGUGGCGCAAUCGGAUAGCGCAAGGGUUUUCUACACCUUGGGUUGCAGGUUCGAAUCCUGCCGUGUUCGCCA
Molecule: transfer RNA, 77 nt
Filed under: Phyllobacterium zundukense
Lineage: Bacteria; Pseudomonadati; Pseudomonadota; Alphaproteobacteria; Hyphomicrobiales; Phyllobacteriaceae
Description: tRNA-Arg
Rfam family: tRNA
About the family: Transfer RNA (tRNA) molecules are approximately 80 nucleotides in length. Their secondary structure includes four short double-helical elements and three loops (D, anti-codon, and T loops). Further hydrogen bonds mediate the characteristic L-shaped molecular structure. tRNAs have two regions of fundamental functional importance: the anti-codon, which is responsible for specific mRNA codon recognition, and the 3' end, to which the tRNAs corresponding amino acid is attached (by aminoacyl-tRNA synthetases). tRNAs cope with the degeneracy of the genetic code in two manners: having more than one tRNA (with a specific anti-codon) for a particular amino acid; and 'wobble' base-pairing, i.e. permitting non-standard base-pairing at the 3rd anti-codon position.
Source: RNAcentral